This 527-nucleotide ribosomal RNA is filed under the name Atherinomorus stipes (hardhead silverside). Its description in RNAcentral is "partial 12S ribosomal RNA". It matches the Rfam family "Bacterial small subunit ribosomal RNA", at positions 557 to 1367 of the family's 1533-position model. Lineage: Eukaryota; Metazoa; Chordata; Actinopteri; Atheriniformes; Atherinidae. The record is from RNAcentral.
GGCGUAAAGAGUGGUUAAGAAAAAUUAUUAAACUAAAGCCGAACACUCUCAAAACUGUUAUACGUACCCGAGAGCAAGAAGUCCCCCCACGAAAGNNGCUUUAAUCAUUCUGAACCCCACGAAAGCCGGGAAACAAACUGGGAUUAGAUACCCCACUAUGCCCAGCCCUAAACUUUGAUAGGAUAAUUACACCCCCUAUCCGCCCGGGAACUACGAGCACUAGCUUAAAACCCAAAGGACUUGGCGGUGCUUUAGAUCCCCCUAGAGGAGCCUGUUCUAGAACCGAUAACCCCCGUUAAACCUCACCCUCCCUUGUUCCUCCCGCCUAUAUACCGCCGUCGUCAGCUUACCCUGUGAAGGAUUAAUAGUAAGCAAAGCCAGCACAGCUCAAAACGCCAGGUCGAGGUGUAGCGCAUGAGAGGGGAAGAGAUGGGCUACAUUCCCUAACCCAGGUAAUACGAAAAAUGCAAUGAAAGCGUUAGAAGGAGGAUUUAGUAGUAAGCAAGAAAUAGAGCGUCUUGCUGAAA